UGCCAGCCGCCGCGGUAAUACGGAGGGUGCAAGCGUUAAUCGGAAUUACUGGGCGUAAAGAGUACGUAGGCGGCUUUUCAAGUCGGAUGUGAAAGCCCUGAGCUUAACUCAGGAACUGCAUUCGAUACUGGAUCGCUAGAGUAUAUUAGAGGAUAGUGGAAUUUCAAGUGUAGAGGUGAAAUUCGUAGAUAUUUGGAGGAACACCAGUGGCGAAGGCGGCUCACUGGCUCGAUACUGACGCUGAGGUACGAAAGUGUGGGGAGCAAACAGGAUUAGAUA
This 279-nucleotide ribosomal RNA is filed under the name uncultured bacterium. Its description in RNAcentral is "partial 16S ribosomal RNA". It matches the Rfam family "Bacterial small subunit ribosomal RNA", at positions 506 to 784 of the family's 1533-position model. The record is from RNAcentral.